RNAcentral lists this ribosomal RNA (253 nucleotides) under uncultured bacterium. RNAcentral's name for it is "partial 16S ribosomal RNA". It matches the Rfam family "Bacterial small subunit ribosomal RNA", at positions 524 to 776 of the family's 1533-position model. The record is from RNAcentral.
UACGUAGGGACCAAGCGUUGUUCGGAUUUACUGGGCGUAAAGGGCGCGUAGGCGGCGCGGUAAGUCACUUGUGAAAUCUCUGAGCUUAACUCAGAACGGCCAAGUGAUACUGCAGUGCUAGAGUGUGGAAGGGGCAAUCGGAAUUCUUGGUGUAGCGGUGAAAUGCGUAGAUAUCAAGAGGAACACCUGAGGUGAAGACGGGUUGCUGGGCCAACACUGACGCUGAUGCGUGAAAGCCAGGGGAGCAAACGGG